Zingiber officinale is the source of this 3319-nucleotide long non-coding RNA. RefSeq lists it as uncharacterized. The transcript is spliced from 3 exons. NCBI's taxonomy places the organism in Eukaryota, Viridiplantae, Streptophyta, Magnoliopsida, Zingiberales, Zingiberaceae. The record is from RefSeq and is a predicted model, not a curated record.
GAAGAAGUCAAACGGUUCGGUGUGUCAAAUCGACGGCUGAGAUUUAAAGCAAAGUCAAAGUCAAGCCACGAUAGUUGUUCAAUUCAUCUAGUUAGAUUUAAAAAAGGAAAAUGAUAUUUACCGUGACAUAUUACUGCGAAAAUUUUCUGCGACCCUGUUGGCAGUUUACGUGGCCAACUCCACCUCAGUCCUCUCUCUCGGCUUCGCGAAUGAAGUCCUCUCGCGUCAAAAUGUUUGAUUUUUUUACAUGCCCUAUCUCUCUGAGCCUCUUUUCCCUUGCGAAACGGUAACUUUUUCUUUCCCCUCGCAAAGCAGCAACUUCUCCUUCCCUUGUUGUUCUCUCUUCUCCCUCUGCUACAGUUCUCAUAUCUCCACUGUAGUUUACGGAUCUCCCUCCUUUGUCGUUUUCUCUUCUCACUCCCUUGCCCUAAUCCUCCUCCUAGCGAAAUUAGUCGAGUGUCCUAACUUCUUCAAAAGCGUCGUAACGUCUUCUCCUUCUUCAAAAGCGUCGCAGCGUCUUCUCCUUCCGUUCUCUUCCUCCCAGCGAGCCUCGUCUUCCUCCACCCAGCGUUCUCGAAGAGAGGAGCGUUCUCUCUCACUGUUCUCCCUCAGCGAGGCUCAGCUCUAUGAGUGUUUUCAAGGAUUCGAAGAACCACAUCAAGUUAUAGUAGUAAGGAGCAGUGACUUUGAGUACUCUUUGAGAUAAUCAACUUCUUUUACAUCUUUUCUUUCUUCAAUUCGUGGUAACCCAAUCCUAACUCAUCCAUACCUUCUUUUUCUUCUUCUUUAGUUCAAUUUAUGCUUCUAGUUCAAUUUCGUGCAGACAUAUUGUUCACUUUUUAGGAUCCAUUCUCUAUUUCUUUUCUAGUUUAUGUUAUUAACUUUUCUCUUAAUAAAUAUAGAUGAAGAAAGUAUCAUGGAAGAAGGAAAAAUUGAUUCGAAUGAGAUGAAGGAUAACACUGACCAUGUGGAUCAAGACCCAUCUCCAUCUACCGUCAAAGAAGUCAAGCUACAUGAGGUUAGAAUGAUAUUUUCCUCUGAAGACGAAGUUCAUACUUUUUAUAAUUCCUAUGCUACCAAUGUUGGUUUUGGGAUUUUGAAAUUAGGUGGUAGGAAUGGAGAUGAUGGAAAAUAAAAAUAUUUUUCUAUUGGAUGUGCAAAAAAUCGCAAGAAAGGAUCUCAAGCUAAAAAUAUUUUACACCCUCGACCUUCUAGUAAGACAAAUUGCAAAGCUAAAAUUAAUGUAGUUGUUCGAAAUGAUGGGAACUUUGUGAUAACUAGUGUAGACAUUGAGCAUAAUCAUAUCUUGAGCUCUGGAAAGUCACGACAUUUAAGAUGUAAUAAAGUAUUGAAUUCAACUACAAAGGGAAAAUUAGAAUUAAAUGAUCAAGUUGGAAUAACUUUAAGCAAAAGUUUUCACUCUUGUGUAGUUGAGGCUAGAGGUUAUGCAAAUUUAUCAUUUGAUGAGAGAAAAUGUAGAAAUUAUAUUUCAGAAGCUAGAAGGUUGAGGUUAGGGGAAGGAGAUGCUGAAACUUUGAGUAAUUAUUUUUGCCGCAUGCAAAGUAGGAACCCAAACUUUUUUUAUGUGCUGGAUUUAGAUGGUGAAUCUCAAAUAAAAAAUAUUUUUUGGGCCUAUGUAAGAUAUAGGGAUUCAUAUGAUUAUUUUUGUGAUGUCGUGACUUUUGAUACAACCUAUUUGACUAAUAGUUAUGACAUGCCUUUUGCUCUAUUUGUUGGGGUGAAUCGUCAUGGGCAAUCUAUCUUGUUGGGAUGUGGAUUAAUAUCAAGUGAAGACUCAACAACAUUCACAUGGUUGUUCAACUCGUGGUUGACAUGUAUGCAUAGAUGUGCUCCAAAGGCUAUAAUCACAGAUCAAUGUCGUGUCAUGAUAAUCGCAAUUGAAGAGGUAUUUCCGAAUUUUCAUCAUCGUCUAUGUCUUUGGCAUAUUAUGAAAAAAAUUGCCAGUGAAGUUAGGUGGUCAUGUUUAGUACAAAAUGAUAAAGAAACAAUUGAAAACCAUUGUUUAUAACUGGCUUACAGUUGAUGAGUGUGAUGAGAACUGGUUAAAAAUGAUUGAUAGUUCAAGUUGGAGAACAAUGAUUGGUUGAAAUCUUUGUAUGAGGAACGAAAUAGAUGGAUACCUGUGUAUGUUAAAGAACACUUUUGGGCUGGUAUGUUUACAACUCAAAGAAGUGAAAAUAUGAAUCCAUUUUUUGAUGACUAUGUUCAUUCUAAAACAUUUUUGAAGCAAUUUGUUGAGCAGUAUGAUAGUGCAUUGAAGAAGAAUAUUGAGAAUGAAAAAAAAUUGGAUUUUGUUUCUUUUAAUUCUAUCAUGCCAAUUAUUCUUGGUCAUUCUAUUGAAAGACAAUUCCAAAAUGUCUACAUUAACAAUAUGUUUAAGUUGUUCCAAGAUGAAAUAAGAGGGUUGAUGUUUUGCGAUGCCUCUUUGUUGAGGGAGGAAGGGGCAACUUUAAUAUUUGAAGUAGUAGAAAAUAUGUUGGGACAUAAUGGACAACCUGGAAGGGAAGUUUUCUUUAGGGUACAUUAUAUCGAGUUAGAUUGCUAAUUGAAGUGUGUGCGUCGUCUGUUUGAGUUUCGGAGAAUUUUAUGUAGGCAUAUGAUAAAAGUGUUGAUGAGAAUGAAGGUUAUUGAGGUUCUAAUGAGUUAUAUUAUCAACCGAUGAUGCAAAGAUAUUAAGCGUGUGUAUCAAAGCAUCAGUAACAUAUAUGAUGAUUAUGAUUGUGGUGGGAAAAGACUUCGGUAUAAUACUCUCAUCCCAUUGAUGCAAGAUGUUCAACAACUUGGAGCUGAAAGUGACAACAUUUGUUCUGUUUUGGUGGAAAUCAUGAAAGACACUAAGGAAAAACUUAUUAUUGCUAUGGAAAAUGGGCAAUCAAGGGCUGAACAACUUGAAGAAGCAUCUACAUCCAGGGCAAAAGUGAGACACUCUCCAUUGAAAGUAAAAACCAAAGGUCGUCCACUCACAAAGAGGAAACAAUCUAAAGUUGAACAAAUUGUGAAGAAAUCAUUUGCAAAAGCCCGAAAGAAGCUAUGAGUACUGGUUUUUGGCUGACGAUGGAAUGAAAAUUCAGACUUUUGGAAGAACAUGGAUCCCUUUUUACCUCUGUUACAUUGGACGAUUUAUCUGAAGUUGCGGCUUCUGAAGUUGCUGGUUUGGAAGAAUAUGGAAUUUUGUUAAGUUGCUGGUUUUAAAGUUGAAAUGGACUUUUGGAAGAACAUGGAAUUGCUAUUAGCACUGUUAAAUUGUUAUUAACACUGUUAUUCUACUUGUAAUGAAAUUGUUUCUCUUUUUGGCUUA